Molecule: ribosomal RNA, 1383 nt
Filed under: uncultured cyanobacterium
Lineage: Bacteria; Bacillati; Cyanobacteriota
Description: bacterial SSU rRNA
Rfam family: Bacterial small subunit ribosomal RNA
Source: RNAcentral
AGAGUUUGAUCCUGGCUCAGGAUGAACGCUGGCGGUAUGCUUAACACAUGCAAGUCGUACGAAGAUGUAAAUCUUAGUGGCGGACGGGUGAGUAACGCGUGAGAAUUUGCCUCAAGGAGGGGAACAACAAUUGGAAACGAUUGCUAAUGCCCCAUAUGCUGAAGAGUGAAAUGGAGUAAUUCGCCUUGAGAAAAGCUCGCGUCUGAUUAGUUUGUUGGUAGGGUAAUGGCCUACCAAGACUACGAUCAGUAGUUGGUCUUAGAGGAUGAUCAGCCACACUGGGACUGAGACACGGCCCAGACUCCUACGGGAGGCAGCAGUGGGGAAUUUUCCGCAAUGGGCGCAAGCCUGACGGAGCAAUACCGCGUGAGGGAAGACGGCUCGUGGGUUGUAAACCUCUUUUCUUAGGAAAGAAUUUUGACGGUACCUAAGGAAUAAGCAUCGGCUAACUCCGUGCCAGCAGCCGCGGUAAUACGGAGGAUGCAAGCGUUAUCCGGAAUCACUGGGUGUAAAGCGUCUGUAGGUUGUUGAAUAAGUCUGCUGUUAAAGCUUAGGGCUCAACCCUAAAAAAGCAGUGGAAACUGUUCGACUAGAGGAUGGUAGGGGUAGAGGGAAUUCCCAGUGUAGCGGUGAAAUGCGUAGAUAUUGGGAAGAACACCAGUGGCGAAGGCGCUCUACUGGGCCAUUACUGACACUGAGAGACGAAAGCUAGGGGAGCAAAUGGGAUUAGAUACCCCAGUAGUCCUAGCUGUAAACGAUGGAUACUAGAUGUUGCGCGUAUCAAUCCGUGCAGUAUCGUAGCUAACGCGUUAAGUAUCCCACCUGGGGAGUAUGCUCGCAAGAGUGAAACUCAAAGAAAUUGACGGGGGCCCGCACAAGCGGUGGAGCAUGUGGUUUAAUUCGAGGCAACGCGAAGAACCUUACCAGGCCUUGACAUGCUUGUCGCGAGUACCAGAGACGGUACUCUUCAGUUCGGCUGGACAAUGCACAGGUGCUGCAUGGCUGUCGUCAGCUCGUGUCGUGAGAUGUUGGGUUAAGUCCCGCAACGAGCGCAACCCUCAUCCUUUGUUGCCAGCACGUAAUGGUGGGAACUCUAAGGAAACUGCCGGAGUUAAUCCGGAGGAAGGUGGGGAUGACGUCAAGUCCUCAUGGCCCUUACGGCCUGGGCUACACACGUGUUACAAUGGGAGUGACAGCGCGCUGCUACCCAGCAAUGGGACGCUAAUCGCUAAAAGCUUCCUCAGUUCAGAUUGUCCUCUGCAACUCGAGGGCAUGAAGUCGGAAUCGCUAGUAAUCGUAGAUCAGCAUGCUACGGUGAAUACGUUCCCGGGUCUUGUACACACCGCCCGUCACAUCAUGGGAGUUGGUUCUGCCUUAAGCCGU